GACUUACAGACCUAGUAGGCUGCUGGUGGAUUGUGUGGAAGAUUAGAAACGACACGAUCUUUCAGAAUAUCGCCCCUAACCCUGAGCUAGCGGUUCGCAGAUUCAAGCUUCUAAUGGAGGAGUGGGACCCUCCCCUCGUUUCGUAACUUCUUCUUCUUCUUCUUCUUCUUCCUCUUCUUCUUCUUCUUCUUCUUUUUUUGUUUUUUUUUUUUGUUUUUGUUGUUUUUUUUAUAUUAUAAUCUUUUGUUCUCAAAAAUAUUGUAAUAAUACAAGUACUUUUAAAUUUCCGUAGAGCUCUCUUUCUCUCUUUUGCACUCAGUUGUAAGAUAAGUAUGUUGGGACUAGCAAACAAAAAGGUAUCCUUUUUCAUCUUCUUAAGNACACACAUAAAUACAUAUAAAACAUGUAUUUUUGGAUUUUCUCGAAAUCCGUGCGUCAAACUCAAAAUCCGUCAGCGUCAUUGGUUCCUGAACAGCUGACUCGGUCGAAACGAGCUAUUGGACUGCUAUGAACAGAGUCCGGUACGAGCCAGAAGCCAACUUCUCACCGCGGCUUCUCCGGAAAAUCGAGUUACUAUUCACUUUAAGUGAAACUUGGAAAUCGCGUAGAAUUUCCGUUUUAACUCGUUUUCGCCCGAAACUUGACGAGUGCUUUUGUAAUUAAAUUACACACAAAAAUAUCGUCAACUGAGAGUUUAGCUACACUGCAAAAAUCUCAGUCCUUACAGGUUAGAAGGAAAGCAAAAGUUGUUUUCUAGCGAUUGUUGUUUGGUUUGUAUGAAAAGGAAAAGGAAAUUUGUUUUUCUUUUUGUAUUUUAUUGUUUGGUUGAUAGGAAAAAGUGGGAUAAAAAUACCUCCAAUAUGUUGGAGGUAAGAUUAUCCUGUAUUAAAAAUUAAUAUAUGGGUAAAUAAUAACAAUUGUAAUAUGAGUCAAUUAAUCGUAUCAAAAUAAUUUUACAUACUUAUUGCUUAUAAGAUCUCAACAUUGUCACAACAAUUUAUAUGUUUUUUUUUUUUUUUGAAGUUUAACUGCCCAAAUUGUCUAUAAAGUAUUUAAAAAAGCAUAAAGACAUGCAUAAUAGUGGACAAGAUAUAUGUAAUCUGUUUAAUUCUUAUAUCAAAAAUCAUUUGGAAAGUAUGAAUGUAAAGUAAUGGAAUACAAUAUUACAAAAAAAAAAGAAUAGAAAUUACAAGUUCACAAACAAAAUUAAUUAACAUAUAAUAUAUUAACAAAACAGAGUGAGUCGUUAAUAUAAAACAUCAACUAUUUAACAUCAGAUUUUUAGACAAAUCUAUAGAUAAAUUGAAUCGAGAGUUCUAAUGUGGCCGACGUGGCCGCUUCUCCGCGCUCGCGAGGGAGAGAGGAAGAGAGAAAGGGAGAGAAAGAGAGAGGGGAGGGGGGGCUGCGUGCAGGCGACCCGCGCCCGCAGCACGCGUAAGAAAGGAAGAGAGAGAAGGAGAGAGAGAGAAAGAGAGAGCAGACAGAGAGAGCGGAGAGAGAGAGAGUAGAUAGACAGAGGGGAAGAGAGAGAGAGAGAGAGAAACAGAGACGAGAAGAGAGAGAGAGAGAAGUAGAUAGAGAGUGGCAGGAGUCUCUCUCUCCUGCUCGCGGCUCCCGCAGGGGGUGCGGGCCUCCGCACAUGGCCCCCCGGUUCUCUUCCCCUCUCUCUUCUCUCUCAUCCCCGUCUCCUUCUCUCUCUCUCUUCUCCCCAUCUUUCUCCGCGGCUCUCUCUCUCCCCCUAUCUCUCCCUUCACGGGGCGCGACCGCACCCGGGGUGUGGGCCGCGCUGGGGGGUUCCCGACCGCGCCCCCGCGCACAGGCUUUUCCCCCCCCUCCUCUUCUUUACCUUUCCUCCCCCUACGGCUCUUGUCCUCUCUCCCUCUCCCCCCCUAUCCCCUCCCCUCUCUCCUCUUUUUUCGCCCCCGCUCUUUCUGCUCUCUCUUCCCUCUCCAGCAGGCGGAGCGGCGAGGCGGCCGGUGAGUCGGAGGCGCGAGCGGGCGGCAGUGGGAGGCGGACGCGCGGUGGGCAGUAGCAGUGGCGGUCGGUGCGGGCGCGAGCGCGGCCAGCGGAGCGGACGCGAGGGUAGCACGAAGGGGGGAGAGGGGAGAGGGAGAGAGGGGAAAAGAGAAAGGUGCGGGGGAGAGAGAAUGAGAGAGAGAGAGGGGGGGAGAGAGAAAGAGAGAAAGAGGGAGUCAGGGAGGAAGAGAAAGGGAGAGGGAGAGGGAGAGAGAAUUUUACCAUUUUUAUAUUUAAAUUUUAUACAUAAAUUUUAAAUUUUAAAUUUUAAUUUUAACUUAUAUUAUAUAUAUAAUUUUAUUUAUAAAUAUAUAUUUAUUUAUUAUAUAUAAUUGUAUAUUUAUUUUUUGUAAGUUUAAAAUUUUAAAUUAAAUUUAAAAAUUAAAAAAAUAAAAAACAAAUUGUUUAAAAUAUUUUAAAAAUUGCGUAAAUUUCCCACCGCGGAGCGCGGGCCUUCACUAGUUCUAAUAAAAUCAGAACCCAAAAAGUAAGUAGGUACAAAAAAUAGCAAACUACAUAGUGCUACCAUCUAUAUUAUGUGCCAACUUACAUCCAAAACCAUCAAGUUCCAAAAAAUAAAAUACUGUACUAAUAGUUUUUCAUACUUAGCAACCAGACCAAAAUUACUUUAGAAAUUGGUCUUCAAACUGUGUUAACCAUUCAACUCGCAUUUCUGGUCUACGAACUAAAAAAAGUUUUCCAGCUAUUCAUUUCUCAAGAAAUACUCAUAUGCAGCAAUACCUACGUGCUCGGGGAUAUUACAUGACUUUAUAGAGCUCCAUAUCUCCUUUUCGUGCAUAAUUUUGGCAUCUUUCAUUGAAUCUGCUAAUUCUCUGAUCUUUUUCACUAAUAAUAUAAAUUCUGAAUCUGAAUGUUUUUAUUUCUUGGCUUUUGAGGUUGUACCAAUGCCGGAUUUGGUCACUGGUCGAUUAAGAUUUUGUCGUUUACGUCCUUGAGAAGGGGUUGUUGGUGAAAUGUGCUCGCUCUCUUCUGAAUAUAAAUCUUCCAAGCCAAAGUCAUCACCAUCAUCAUUGUUAUCUUCUUCAUCAAGAUUGAUAUUAUUUGGAUCAUCCGAUGCAAAUUCUCCAAUUGCUUGAUCAUCUCCGCAUAUGAUUGCUAGCUCGUCAUAGUGUUAAAUAGGACAAUUUAAGUAGUAUAUAUCCUUGGGAUGAGCCUACAAGAAUAUAAAACGAAUAACUUCUUAAUAUAAAAUAUAAAUGACAUAUGAAAUUUGAGAUGAAACUGAAAAAAAAGAAAAAAACUUUACUCGAAUAAAGUCUUGGUAAGAUCCUUCGCCCAAACUAAUAGUCUUGCUAACUGGAUCCCAUGAAGCACCACUCAAACUUUUUAAUUGAAUGAUUCUAGACCACUUCGUCUUGAAAGUGCGUAGCCGAUUUUCAACUUUAGUCCAAUUACAAGAAACUUGGAAUUUGGAUGACAUUGCUCUUGCUGCAGCUACAAAGGCUAGCCUUUUGAAUGAUUUGUCCACUUUCAUACCAAUACUAGCUUGAUGCACCAAAAAUUUUACGAGAAAGUCGGACAUCUCAUUUGUCCACUUUGGCUGCGUUUGGUUUGGGUAUAAGUAAUAACUACUUGUUCGAGAGAUAGAUACAAGUCCAGAUAUAAAAAGGAACUAGACCAAUUUUGUGUUUGGAUGAAAAUUGGGUUGUUCCUAAAAAUAAAGUAAAUAUCGUUUGGAUGGUUAAAUUGGAACAAGUGGAAUAAAAUUUAUAAUUUGAAAUUAAAAUUAUAUUAUCUAAUUAAUUAACAUCAAAAUAUUACUUAAAANUUAUAUAUAUAUAAAUAUAUAUAUAUAUAUAUAUAUAUAUAUAUAUAUAUAUUCGAGCUUUUCGAGCCUAAUUCGAACGAGCCGAGUAAUACUCAAGCUCGGCUUGAAAUGAAUUUCGAGCCUUUAAUUUUGUUCAAGCUCGGCUCAUUUAAUUUCGAGUCGAGCUCGAGCGAGCCGAAUAUCGAGCCGAAUACGAGUCGAACGUGAGCCGGCUCGCUCGUUUGCCAGCCCUAGAUGCAAGCGUGCGAAGAGUGCCCUCUAUUGGUUGGACACUCAUAAACUCUUCACGUGCUGUGUUCGGCCGUUUGGGUUUCGACACGUGCGUCUUUCUGUGAAAUAAUAUUUACACAAGUGGCGAAUUUCAUAUAGUUACUGUACACAAAUUUAGCCGAUUUUCAUCAAUCAUGGUAGCUAAAUUUAGUAAGUAUAAUUUAUCAUUAGAAAUAUCAGAACUAUACUGAUCUUCUUUAGCACAAAUGACAAAAGACUUGAUAAUUGAUACCCAAAAUUUUAAUAAAAACUAAAUAAAACGAAUAGCAUGCUACCUUUCUCCCUCUCACAAAAAAAAAUGUAAUAUACAUACUACUAUAAUAUGUUGACAUGAUAAACACCAAGAAUAAUAUUUUAGCUCAUCUAUAUAUAAUUUUGAUUUUCUAUAGACUGUUAAUAUACUGACAAUAUUAAUUAUAUGACGACUUUUUGAACUACGCGUGUAUUAAAAUAAUAAGAACUUGCAAUAUUUCCUGUAUAUUAAUACAUCAAUAAUAAAAACAACCUGGGUAAUCCAUAAAAGUACUGUAUCAUCAUUCUUUAACCCUAGGCAUAGAAAUUAGGAUUGAAAACAUGAAUGCAUAUAUAUACUUUUUGAGAAAUGAUUCGGUACUUUUUAAAAAAAAAAAUAAAAAAGAUCUUAACCAUUGAUUAAUAGAGGGUAAAAAUGUAAUUUUAAUACUUAGCAGGUAAAAGGAUUAUUUUAUUCAAGGUUAGUUUGAUAAUUAAAUAAUAUAACAUUUAAAGAAACUUUUAAUUGAGGUCCUAAAUUUACUAUAGUACACUAGAUUUUAGUGAGAUGCGAAGUUUGAAUGUGAGAAUAGUGUCUGGAACUAUUCUACAACUGAUGAAGGAUUGUUAAGAGAUUUCGGCAAGUGCUAGAGCAAGUGGAUGGCCGGAAGUGGAAAAGUGCAUUACAAAACUGCACUAUUCAAUUGUACUAUUUCGAACUCGACUAAUUAUGAAGUUUGAUGAGUGGGAUUGGUAAUGAAGGUAACCCACAUUUUUUUAAAGAGUUGUAGUGGGGUUCUGGACAAGUUUGAAGGGUGCUCGAACUGACGGAAGCAAGAAAGUGCAUCGCAGAGACACUAUUCAAGUGUAGUAUUCUGAAUUUUGACAAGUGAUGAAAUUUAAGUGUUGGAAUAGCAAUUGGAGCUAUCCUACAACUUUUAGAGAGUGGAAGUAAGGUUUUGGAUGAAUUGAAAAAAUGCUCGAGCCAUCGGAAGGAGGAAAGUGCAUUGUAAAAUGCACAUUCAGCAUUUUGCAUAGUGUACCGGUGUACAAGCAUGAUGUUGUACCGGUACACAGCACAGCAGUAGCUGCGUGGCUAAGGCUAUUUUGGUCUUUUCCCUUUCCAAGGUUGUUCUUAUCAACUCUGGUCGACCCCUGAGCUUAUCCAGAGUCCCCAGGAACUGAGGAGAAGAUAAGGAUUUCCCUCUCUUUCUCUUUCUAAAGUUUUGGGGAUUUUGUAAGUAAAAGUGAAGAUUUAAGCUUGUUUUCCUCUUCUCUCUUGUUUGUUAUCGGUUUGGUGAGUUGGAGCAGCGGUGGAUGAGUAGAACUGAGUUUUGGGGAGAGGAAUUUCGUGACCUAACUCAGUAGGAAGCUGAGUUGGAGCUUUAUGAGGUAAACUACUCAAUCUCUCUCUAGUUUUAAGCUAUACUAGCAAAGCUGAAUUUGAUCUUGGUUUGGUUGUUCCCAGCUGAAUUGGGAAGGUUUAAAGGAGCCAUAGAGAAGUUGGUGUGCUGUGAUUUUACAACCUGGAACCAGGGAUAAUCUGAGAUGAGGUUUGCAAGGUGAUUAACUCGCUAUUUUACCACUCUAAUGCUGAAAUAGUGAUAUUCGUUGUAAGUUAAGGCUGAUUUUGCUUUGAUUCUUCAAGUCGAGGCAAAAGGACAGCUGAACUAAAGCUAUGAGGGAGUAUGCUAUUUAUUAGCUCCUCGAUUAGAUGUAUUAAUUGUAUCUUUAAACACAGUUUUGCGGUGUGAUCACAACUGAUAUGCAGCGGACAUGAUAUUCACUUCGAGCUAAAUUUUGUGAUCAUUGUAAGCUGGAUUUGAAGUGCUUCAACCUACGUGAAGUGAAGGUUUAACUUUGGUUUAAAUCUAAGUAAGAUUUUAGCUUAAAUCAUGUACAUAUCUGAGAAUUACAUAUAUGAGAUUAAAGUGGAACUCAUAGUUGAAUUUGGAUUAUUGUUAGAGUGUUUUGAAGGCUUCUGGUCGCUAUGAACUAAAUGUUAAUGAUUCUUGAAGAUUGAGGAUGAAAAGCUUCAACUUGGUUACAAAAAGGAAGGUCAAGAGCAGAUUCUAAACUAGGUAUAAAUCUACCUAGAUUAGAUGCAUGGAACUGGAAGUUCAAAUUCUAAUUGGAUUAGUAUACUUACUAGGGUAUUUGGAAGCUAAUGAAUAUCUUUGCUUGCAGGAGCAACAAGAGUCGACGGUGAUUAGGUGGGUCGGAUCUUUCCGAAAUGGGUGAAUUCCCUCUAUGUCCCCUUUUACAUUAUGAGUGAAUGUAUUGUAUGUUUAUGUGAACAAGAGUAUACUUGAAAGGAAUUGAGACACGCAUCUAUGUGCAUACCCUAUCAGAUAUGAUAGGAUUUCCAUAUAGUAGAGGAAGAAUUAUGGAAUUGCCUAUUUCCAUAGAUCAUCUAGCUUUAUUGGACGAUAAGGGAACUACGUACUUGGAAAUAAUCACACAAACCUGUGUUCUAAACAUUGUGCUUGAACUCUUAGUUUAUUAUAUAUACUGAAGUUGUUUAUACAUUCAUGUAGAACCAUGCAAGUGUAUAUUGAACAAUACCUCACGUAUUUGCGUUGAUCAAUAGGCUAUUGUUUCAACUAAUAAUACCAACAUGAACUUGGUGUUAUGGAUAUGAUCUUAUUAUGCAAUCCGAACUUGACCUCUUGAAUGUAUACUUGUACAAUCGAACAAUAGUAUUGCAUAUGACUUAUUUACUCCUAGUAGUGGAGGCUUAUGUGGAACUUUAGGAUAGAUAUCAAGAGUCGUAAGGACCCUGAAUGAGUCAUUAAGUAUAACUUUGGUAAACCAUUUUCCUUAUGUAUAAGGAGUAAUAAGAGGACUCUAUGAGAGUAUGUUUGAGUAUAGCCAUUAUGAUACAAGUAUAUACUGAUCUAAAUUGUAAUAACAAUUGGUAGAGUUAUGUCAACAAGUAGUUGAUAGCAGCUUACGAUUGGGUACUACAGUGUCGACCUUGUGUCGAGUUGAGAUUCCAUGUUAGAGACAUGAUGAAAUCGUGAUACUUGUACUAUGGAUUACAGCUUGCAUGCCAUUGUGCUCUUUCGCACAUGCUUGUGGGGGUCGCGCCCCCCAAGCCAGCGCCCCGGAGUGGCUUAGCGACAGAUCGCUCGCUUAUGUAUGAAGUGAGCGCCAAAAUGGAUUGCCGUGGGCAGUGUUAACUUCCACGGGGCCAUUAGGCGCGGCACAUGCCAGACAGCCUUCGAGUGGGUCUUUUACCAGACAGCCUUUGGGUGGGUCUUUAUGCUAGACAGCCUUCGGGUGGGUCUUUAUGCCAGACAGCCUUCGGGUGGGUCUUACAAGAUUUAAACAUCGAGUAGGUAAAUGACAAGUGAACUUAUUGACGAACAAGCUAGACAGUUGACCUCUUGACGUUAGUGACAUGGCGACGGUGUGUUACACUUUUACGGGUGUAGGAAGAUAUCAUCAGUUAUUUCGUGAUGAUGAACAACCUGGCAUAUGAUGAGUCAAAUACCUAAUGACAGCAUGUUUUAUUGUUGCUAAUGUAAACCUGAAUUAUUUCGCAUAUCUUUUGGCAUAUGACUAGUUAAAUUGUUAACUAAUAUGAAUGGUAGAAUCUACCAUGACAAGCUAGUACCUACACCGGCGAUAUGCAUAUAUUUAUUUUUAAGCAAAUAACAUGAUCGGUUUACUUUCAUUCCUGUUGCUUUUAUUUGCUUAUGUACUGCUAUUUACUCAUGCUUGUAAGGACUGAGAUUUUUGACAGUGCAACUAAACUUUCUGUUGAUGAUGUUUAUGUGUGUAAUUUAAUUACAUAAGCACUCGUCAAGUUUCGGGCGAAAAUGAGCUAAAAUGGAGAAGAUACGCGAUUUUUAGUUUUCACUUAAGUGAAUAGUAACUCCGGUUUUCCGGAGAAGCCACGGAGUAGAGUUGGCUUCUGGUGCGUAUCGGACUCCGUUCAUAUCAGUCCAAUAGCUCGUUUCGACCGGUUCAGCUGUUCUGGAACUAAUGGCGCUGAUGGAUUUUGAGUUUGACGCACGGAUUUCGAUAAAAUCCAAAAAUACAUGUUUUAUAUGUAUUUGUGUGUAUGUUUCCUUCUAUUGGAAGAAGGUUGGAUUUUGUUGUGAAUCCGUGGUCGAUCGAGAUGAAUCGAAAGUGUAGCUUUGUUGUCUCCGAGGUGCUGAUCGCACUGGUGCAAUCCGUUCGCAAAUCUGACGGACGGAUCUGCGGAGAUCGCGCGUUGAUCGAGGAGAGGUCGGUGAUGGCAAAACGGUAAUUUCGCAAAAGUCGCGACAUUUUAUGUACCGUUUCUCGUGAGAUCGCACGUGGAGGGGCGUUCUUGCGUUUUAGUCGUACCGUGAGGGACUCGGAUUCAAUUUCAGAUGUUUGAGGGGUUUUCUUGCAAGUUGCACCUAGUAUAUAGUUAUUCUCUAGGGUUUGGAGUCACCUAACCUAACCCUAGCUUUGCCCUAGCCCCCUAGCCGCCCCCCCCACGUUCCCCUGCUCUCCCCGCGCGCGCCCCGUCCACCUGAGCACGCCGCCGGCCGCCGGAGCUGGCUGCUCCAUCCUUCCUCUCUAUCUCCUCCCUCUCUUCCUCUCUCCCUCUCUCCUCUUGGGUUGGGAGGAGGCCUGAGACUACCGCUACCUUUGGACCCUCCCUCGGUGUCGCCCCGUGCUCCGGCGAUCAUCUCCGCCGACCGCCGCCGUUGCCUGCACCGCCGCUGCCGCCCCGGGCCACAUCUGCCAGCCCAGGCCGAGCCCUGGCCGAGCCGGGUUGCCACUGCCGCCAGCGCGCCGCCACCACCUGGAAUCCCUCCCGCCGACCUCCUCCGUGCCCGGGCACCCCUUCCCGCCGGUCGCCGCCGCCCCGGUGCGCCGCCGUCGCCGCCUCGGCCAGCCGCGGCCGCCUAGCCCGAGCCCAGGCCGAGGCUUUGUUGCGGUCUUUUCCCGCGCCGCCGCCACUCGAGGCCGCCUCCUUCCUCCUCCUCUGGCCUCUGGGGACCUGCCGUCGUCAUCCCCGACCUACCCCGGCCGCCGUCGUGGCCGCAGCUCCCUUGGAAUCCGUGUCCUAGCUCGUGCGGGCCGAGCUUGCUCCGCCGACGCCGCCGCCGCUUCUUGUCGCCAACCGAGGUGAGCACGGAGUUCCUCACCUCUCCCGCACCCGACUCAGGGACCCGCGCGCGCCGCCGUACCGCCGGAGGCCGGCCGGAGCAAGGUUGCUCUGGCCAAGCCCGAAAUAAGGCUUAUUUGAGUGGGUUUCUUGUUCUAGGCUUCCCGAGCUUCCCCGAUCUCUAUGGAAGGGAGCACGAUGAUCCUGGCAAGUUUCUGAUCAUCGUGCUCACCUUGGCUUCUGUCGGGAAGGUCCCGUUCCGCUGUUUUGACGACGUCGCUCCGUUUCAGCCUUUUUGGCUGCUGUUUCGGGUUUGUGCUUGUUUUUCCGGCGAUCCGAGGGCUUUUAGAAGCCUCCGGAAGGUGAGCAUGGUGACCGCUGGUCAGUGCUGAUCACAAUUCUCACCUUCCCUUGGAUCAGAAGUGUCCGGUUAGUCCUGUUCAGCGCGAUCUUCCUUGACGCUGCGCUGUUCGCUGAACCUUCGGGUUGCUCCCGCGCUUCCCACAGCGAGCCGCUGUGCUCCGGAUCGUGAGCACGGACUCCGUACGUCCGGGACCUAUCAGUACGUGUCUCUGCGGACUUUGGAAGUCCUGGUUUGCGUGAGUGAGUUUCUUGAUCGCUCAAAUUACAUAAAAUGAUAGAAUUUUAUGUAAAUUGAGGGGCUUUUUAUGCAAUUGUGCAUCGUGUGGCUACUGUGGGCAGUGCCCGUGAGUGUUUUGACCUCUGGACUGAUUGUCCAUGAUCCGUUAGCUCCGCGGAAAUCGAAAGGUUGAUUUCGGUGCGUUUUUCGGCGAAAUUCGCCGAAAGAACGCGAUUUCGGUUCGGAUUCUUUUCCGACGGUGUUUGGUUGCUCCGUGUUUUGUCGCUGAGCUCUUGUUGGCUGGUCACCGCAAUCAUUUGAGGGUUCGAAAAUGGCGGGUGAGCGACGGUAGGUUCCGGUGUCGAAUUAGACACUUCGGGAACCCGAAUCGAAACGAUUAUCCGACAUAAUUGUUCGACACGAGGAGUUGUGUUUGCUGAUCAAUGAAUGCAACGAUUAUUUUAUGUUUAGUGGCAGCAAGGUGACUCGUAGCUCGAGUCGGUAUGUUCCGGGACAGUUCGUGGGUCCGCGGCGGAGUCCCCCGGUGCGAUUACGGGACUGUCCGGCGUAUUACGGCGAUCGGUUGGGAAACCGGUCCCCAUGGGUUUGCUUGUAGGUUGUGGAUUUAGUGGUUAUUAGCUGUGAGUUAGACAUAACCCGGUGGACCUUCCUUAGGUCGCGGUUGACGUUCUUUGCAGUCAGGAGACAGGCGCAGCAUUUGUACAGGUGGGUAACUUCGAUCCGAAGUGGUACAGGUGGUGCACGCUCGGUGAUAUGUCUUCUAUCCCUGUACUCUGGUUGCUACUAACGUAUUGUCUUUGAGCUUGCAUCCAGUUGAUUUUAUUACACUCUACUUGAAUUGUGUUUCCAUGGCUUAUAUUAAUGUGUAGGGAGUAGAGUAGUUUAUCCAUAUGUGAUUCCAGUGACCUGAGUGGUCGGUCUGUACUUCGUUUCGGUGACCUGAUUGGUCAGUUUCUCGCUUUCCGUUCAGAUGACCCUUGAGGUCGAUAUACCCUAAAGGGUGGGAUUGUCGGCAACGUCCGACGAUUGAUUAUAGUCUACUCAUUCCAGCUGUUUGUAUGUUUGUGACUGUCUGCCACAGCCACGAAUGACGCAGCCUCGCACGGUUGAAUUGAUUUGAUUUUACCGGGGGUAGUAUUCAUGAUGUAGAUUAAAGUAUGUGUAUAUAUGGUUUAUCAGGUAAUUGUGGAUUCAUGGCUUCCAAUAAACGCAAGCGUCUAUUGUUAAUUACCCCUAUAAAGUGUUAGGGCACCUUCGAUUAAGAGACUCUGAAAGUGCUGAAGAUAAACUAAAAAUUGGACAAAAAGGAAUUAUUUACAAUUUAUUGCUCAAUACAUGGCUUUAACCAAGGGCAUACCCUCAGUGUAUUGAAUAGAGCGUAAAGAAAAUGUAUUUUUCAAUUGUAUCGUUAGUAUAUAUUCUAAGAUACCCAAUAUAUGGUAAAAUUAAUUUGUUAGACUCUAUAUGUUGUGGACUCAACACUAUUCACCCUAAUAUGCAAAGAUUGAUUAAAUUCCAUAUAUAUAUGUAUUGGAUAUUUAAUCAGAUUUAAUUCAGAUUAACUCUAAUUAUAUGUAUUAGAGUUUGAUUUGGUUAAUUGAACUCUUAAAUGUAUGUGAAAAGUCAAUAGAUGAUCAGAUUUUGGUUGAGCUCUAUAUAUUUUGGAGCUCAACUUUGUUUAUCAUGAGAUGAAAGAUGUGAUUAAAUCCGCAUAUAUAUACAUUGGAAUUAAUCAAACUUGAAUUAAAGCUCUGAACUUUAAAUAUAUUAAUAAAGUCCAAUAGAGUUUGAUUUGAGCUUUCAUCCUAAAUAUAUGUGUUAGGAUUAGCCCCAAAUAUCUUAAAUUAGACUCUAAUUUUAUAUUUUAGAGUCUGAUACAAUUAGGCUCUAAGUUUAUGUAUUAGAGCUUAGUCACAUUUGAUUUUGGUUCAUCUCAAGGUGAAAUAUUAACUAAAUCCUAAUUAUAUGUAUUAGGAUUAGUCAGAUUUGAUUUAAAUUAAACUCCAAGUGUAUGUAUUGGAAUCCAACAAAUUAAUUUGAUCAGAUGGUUUGAUCAAUUCUAAAUAUAGGUUUAGAAUUUGAUCAAGUUUGAACAUGAUUGUGAUUUGACUCUAGUUUUAUAUGCUAGAGAAUCGAAUAUUUUGGGAAUUGGGAUGUUCGUGAAAAUUGAACUUGAGUUUAGUUUAACGACAUUUCGGUCGAUUGAUUUAGGUUUAGUUUAACGACGUUUCGAUCGGUUGAUUUGGUGGAGUAGUUUAACGACGUUUCGGUCAAAGGUUUGGGUUUGGUUCACAAGGUUUAUGGUAUUGGGUAUAUGGGAUUAUGGUUCAUGAACUUAGAUAUGGGUUUAUGGUUCAUGAACUUAUGGUUUAUGGGUUUAUGGUUCAUGGGUUUAUGGUUCAUGGACUUAUGGUUCAUGGACUUAUGGUUCAUGGGUUUGGUUCAUGGACUUAUAGUUCAUGGACUUAUGGUUCAUGGACUUAUGGUUCAUGGGUUUGGUGUAUGGUUUGUGGUUUAUGAUCCCUGGCUCAUGAACUUGAUUUGAUUCAUGAACUUGAUUCAUAGUUCGUGAAUUUGGUGUAUGGUAUGGUCCACAGGAUUUGGUGUAUGGUUUGGUCCAUGGUUUUGGUUUAAAGUUCAUGGACUUGGUUAAGGUUAUGGUCUUGGAAAUGGAUUAAAUGUGUAUGGGUUCAUGGGUAAAUGUAUAUAGGUUUAUGUAUAUGGGUUUAUGGGUUUUGGAUAAUGGGCUUAGAUAGUGGGCCCAAAUGGGUUUUGGACUGGGGCCAUUUGUAAAUGGGCUCUGGGCUUUGGACUAGGCCUAGAUUUAAUUGGAUUGGGUUAUAGGUUAUGGGUUUAGAAUUGGGCUAAGGUUUAAUUGGAUUAGGUUAUAGGAUUGGGUUAUAGGUAACGGUUAAUGGAUUUUGAGUGAGGUUAAGGUUAAUGGGUUUAGAUUAGAUUGGGUUAAAUGGGUUUAGAGUCAAAGUGUUGAUUUAAUACGGAUGGGUUGAGGUUCAAUGACUUAGGUCCAUAUGAUCGGGCCUAGAUUCAUGUCUCGAGGUUUUAUUAAAAAAAAAUGUUUUGAUCAAUUAAGAUUUUCAUAUACAUUUUCUUCAAAUUCUGGAUUUGAAUAACAAAUUAAAUUUCAAUUUAAUUUGAAGUGUCUAAUGUGAUUUUGUCAAAGCUCUCUCUCUCUUUUAGAGUGAUCUCUCUUUUUGGUGAUAUUUUGCAAAGAGCACCAUCGAUGUUCAUCUCGGCAUUCCAUCGAGCGGUUUGAUUAGCACGUCGACGACGAAGUAUUUCGUCGAAUGAUUGGUCGGUAAAUGAGAGCAUCGCUCUCUUUAUGAUUCGCCACCGAGCAAUUAGCGGGCGAACUUUGUUUGAAAGGAGAGCACCGCUCUCUCUCUCGGAUUCGUCGUCGGAGCGGUUGGCGGACUUGACUUCAUUUAAGAGGAGAGCACCGCUCUCUCUCUAAGGUUCGCCGUCGAGCGGUUGGUGGGCGGACUCCGGGCACAUCAAGCACUUGGCAGGCGGAAUCCGUUUGAGAGGAGAGCACCGCUCUCUCUCUCAGGUUCGCCGUCGAGCGGUUGGUGGGCGGACUUCGUUUGAGAGGAGAGCACCGCUCUCUCUCUCAGGAUCGCCGUCGAGAGAUGUGUCUUGGGCAUUUCGUCAAACAAUUGGUAGGCACCAAUCGUCGGCGCAUUCUGCAGCGCGUCCGCUGCCGAUCCAUAGCUGUCGCGGCACGACUGCAGGCCGUUCUGCAGCACCUUCUUGACGGCUGGGGCCGCCACCGCCUGCACGUGCUCCGCCUUGAGCGCCGCAGCCUGGACCGACGCCGCGGCUCGCACAGUGUAGCCGCCGCACCUCGCCCGCAGCUUGCAGCUGCAACAUACUAUCGUCUUCGUCGUGGGGGAUCAAGGGUCCGCUGGUGGCGAGCGAGAUACAACGGUUGCUGCCGGAGGGGGAGUAGACUAAUAUAAACCUUUUUUUAAAGAAUCGAUGUUCGUUGUGGACACAGAGCGAACACCUGGUGAGCGGUAACAAGUCCGGCCAUGUCGGAGAAGAUGCCGGUGUCGAGGGCGUCCCGUAGAAGGCCGGUAGCAACGACGCGAAGGGCCUGGCGGACACCGUGAACAGCGGCAUGUGCUGGACAUCUGAGUCGAGGAAGCCGAACUGCGUCCAAAGAGCGCCCAUGAGGGCCGCCGAGAGCAGGUCGACGGCGGGGCUGGAGGAAGCGACGACGCCGUAGACGGCGUCGGCGAGCAUAAGGAGCGUGGCGGCCAGCUCGAGGAGCGCGCCGUGGCCCUUCUUCUCGAAGAGGCCGGCCCGUACGAACUCGGCGACGAGGCGGCGGUAGUCGGGGGAGGCGUCGUAGACGACGUAGUCGGCGAGGCGGGCGACGCAGAGGGGGUCGAGCAGCCCCCAGGCGGACGGCGGGUGAUGGAACGGCCUCGUCGGCCACCUCCUCGACGUCGCGGCAGUGGCUGCGCGCCGGGUUGACGAUCUGGACGAGCACGGCGCGGCCACGGAGCUCAGGGCGCUUCUCGAGGAGCCGCUCCGUGGCGAGGAACUUGAGGCUGACGCCCUUGAAGAGGUCGACGUCGUCGACCCUGAGGAGGACGACGCGGUCCUUGAAGGCAAGGGAGAGGUCGCGGAGCGUGGCGAGGGCCUCGGGCGCGACGACCACGGAGCGGAGCUGGGCCAUGUCGACGCCGACGGGGAGGAUCUUUACGGUGACGGUGCGGCCGCAGUGGGUGUUGCGCCUGUGCGCGGCGGUACUGCCAACGCGGCGCACGAAGACGAGGUGUGCGUCGGAGGCGAUCUGAACUCGCGACUGCGACGAUGGCGGUGUCGGGGGAAGACGAGGCCGCGGUGGGCGUUGCGCCCGCACGCGGCGGUGCUGCCGACGCGGCGCGCGAAGACGGGGUGCACGUCGAGGAGGCGGAGGCCGAACUCGCGGCUGCCGACGGCGGCGGUGUCGAGGGAAGACGAGGCCGCGGUGGGCGUUGCGCCCGCACGCGGCGGUGCUGCCGAAGCGGCGUGCGAAGACGAGGUGCGCGUCGAGGAGGCGGAGGCCGAACUCGCGGCUGCCGACGACGGCGGUGUCGAGGGGAGGACGCCGCGGGCGAGGAGUCGUGCGGCCGGCCUCGGCGGCACAGGGGACCUCCCAAUGCUUGCGGGUGGCUGAUCAUGCGGCGGAGGGCGGCGCCGUUGAGGAUGAUCUGGUGCACGGCGGGGGCGAUCUCGCGAGAGACGCGGCGGAGGUCAGCGGCCGCGAUGGGCGAGCGGUGGUCGCCAUGAUUGAUGAGGGUGAAGAUACAGAGGUUUUUUUUCUUUUUUUUUUUUUUAGGAGAGAGAGAGCUUUGUCAUUGAUGCUGCAUCAAUGGAAAAAAAGUUAUUAUUACUACCUUUUUCUUUUCUUUCGUAGAUAGGAAUAGUGAAAUUUUUUUUUUUGGGUCCGAAACUCUGUGUCCCAGUUGGGUUCAAAUAUACUUAGGUUAUAACGGCUUAGAACGUGCAAAUAAUGGAGGUAGUGGGAUGUGGGUAGGAGAGGUGGGAAGUUACGAUGGGAUCAUGGGAUCGUGGGUAGGAGAGGUGGGAAGUUACGAUGGAAUCAUGGGAUCGUGGGUAUAAUAUUACAAAUUAAUCCUUUCAUUUUGCUUAUAUUAUACUUUAGUUAAAAUAACAAAAUAUUAUAUGUUUGAAGUGGAGCAUCCUGCAAAUAUAUGAAAGGGAAAGGACUAAUCUGCUAUUUUUGUACCCGUUCGCACCUACGGGAACAUCCCACUUUCCGCGUUCAAAAUUUGAAUCCCACUUUCCGCGUUCAAAAUUUGAACUUAAAUUUUUAUCCAUGCACCUAGUGCAUGGAUCAUCUCAUAAACCAUCUCUUCUUUUUUUUUUUAUUUCUUUCUCCCCCCCCUUUUUUUUUUCUUUUUCCUCUUUUAUUCCUCUCUCUUUUUUUAUGCUUCAACAGUGACCUAGUCGGUUAGCUUCGUGAGUUCCGUCGUUGAUGACCUUUGAGGUCGGUGUACCCUGAGGGGUAGGAUUGUCAGCUGGUGCUGACGGUAGUUCUGGACUAUAUCGAUACACUUUUGUGACCUAUCGGUCGGUUCUUGCGUUCGUACAUUUAGUUGACAUCGAGUAGUAUUUACAUAUUAUCUUUAUUUACUCUGCCUGGUUGUUCCAUGUGUAGUAUCCUGUGUAGGGGUAGAGUAGGUGACAUUCGUAUAUACUAUACUAGUGACCUGGUUGGUCGGUUCUCCUAUUUGCAUCUGUGACCUGUUUGGUCGUUCGUUACUUCCCGUACUUUGACCUAUCUCGAUCGGUUCACGUUAUUACUUGAUGACCUAUCUGGUCGGUAUGCCCAGAGGGGCAGUGAUUGUCGGCUGGUCGCCGACGGUUGGCUAUUGAGCAUAUCAGCAUCAAUCGCCACCACUCGUUAGCAUUUCAUGAACACUGGCGGUCUGAUCCACCGCAGCGAGUGUUCUUUUCCGGAAAAGUGGUCGUAUGUCUGACCCGUGAGCCCAAAGGCUAGAUUGGGUUAUAUGCAGGUUGAGUGGAUAUGGCACGAGCCUGAGGUUCCCGGACCAACAUGGCAGGGUUAGUGUAAGGACUGAGAUUUUUGCAGUAUACCUAAACUCUCAGUUGACGAUGUUUUUGUGUGUAAUUUAAUUACAAAAGCACUCGUCAAGUUUCGGGCGAAAACGAGUUAAAACGGAAAUUCUACGCGAUUUCCAAGUUUCACUUAAAGUGAAUAGUAACUCGAUUUUCCGGAGAAGCCGCGGUGAGAAGUUGGCUUCUGGCUCGUACCGGACUCUGUUCAUAGCAGUCCAAUAGCUCGUUUCGACCGGGUCAGCUGUUCUGGAACUAAUGGCGCUGACGGAUUUUGAGUUUGACGCACGGAUUUCGAGAAAAUCCAAAAAUACAUAUUUUAUAUGUAUUUAUGUGUGUGUUUCCUUCUAUUCGAAGAAGGUUGGAUUUUGUCGUGAAUCUGUGGUCGAUCAAGAUGAAACGAAAUCGCAGCUUUGUUGUCUCCGUCGUGCUGAUCGCACUGGUGCAAUCCGUUCGCAAAUCUGACGGACGGAUCUGCGGAGAUCGCGCGUUGAUCGAGGAGAGGUCGGUAGUGGCAAAACGGUAUUUUCGCGAAAGUCGCGACAUUUUAUGUAUCGUUUCGCGAGAGAUCUCACGUGGAGGGCUAUUCGUGUGUUUUACACGCACUGUGGAUGACUUAGUUUAAAAUAUUGAGUUUUCGUGGGUCCUUUCGUAAUUUGAGUUUUAUAUAUAUAGUUGUCUCUUUAUUCCGGGUCCGGAUUUUUGUUUAUCUCUCUCGUCUCUCUUCUCUCUUCUCUCUCUCUCUAUAUAUAUAUAAUAUAUUAUAUAUAUAUAUAUAUAUAUAUAAAUUUCGAGGGGGUUUAAGUACAUGCAAAAAUUGGAUUUACUAACUAUCCCUCGCUCCUGGCGGAGUAUCCAGACAACAACAUAUUAUUAUAAAAAACCUCAAAACUACUUGUGAGGUAUGCUCGAGCACUACAACUCUUCUGGAAGAGAUCUAGUCGCGCAACUCCCUUUCCAGAGAUGAUUAGUUAUCAGGACGACAGUGUCUAAUGCAGUUCAACCGCCAGAAGAAUGACUACCAUGCACACAACACAGAGAGACCUCCGCUCGCCACCGUAUCAUCAACUUAUGAACCUCGCCAUAGCAUUAGAAGAUGUAACAUACUUGGCACCUAAAAAGAAGUAGCUGGUACUCAGUAGCAACAAGGGAUACGCUUACCGACCUAACGGUCCUCAGCGAACCCACAUAAACAGAGAUCUACAGAAAGAACAUAUCAACAGAAAAAAUAACGCUAACAGCGAUACGUGAUAAUAAACCAUGCAUCCGAACCAUACAGCUUAUAAUGCAACACGUGAUUAUCUAUUUCGCUCGACGACAGAUAAAUCUUCGGCUUCUGAAAAAACGCACGAAUGGCGACUCACCGUAUCUCUUUAUCCUGACAGCGUUACACGGCACCUAUGGACAAUCCAGCCCCUUCUCCAAAGGCGGCUUCUACUCUUCAUUACAAUCCACUCCCCACACACUGGCGCCACGUAGCCUAGUCUCGCCAAAAAGCGACAUAAUUGAUAUUAAAGAACCCCCUACUAGAUUUAAUAAAUAUCUAUCAACUUUUCAAUGUAGCAUCGUUGAACAUAUGCGAACCUUUUUCAAGUGCAGCGUCUGUUCACGCGCAGAAAAAGCCGCGCAGAGCGACUUUCAAGUCGUGUCUUCGCGAGGACGUCCACUGACAGGUUACUCCGACCGCCUCUACCGCUGUUAGUCCCGUGCUCAUGACUCCGCUUCAGUCCUAGCGGCUCGCUGCGCUGGGAGCCCUACAGCGGCUCCUCUCGCAUCUGGUGGCCAGGCGUACCCCCGAUAGGGGAGCGCACGGAGCAACCGAGGUCAGCGUCGCGCAGUCAGGAGAUCGCGACCGAACAGAAAACUAACGGACACUUCUGAUCCAAGUGACGGUGCCAACAUGUGAUCAGCACUGGACCAUACCGAUCACCGUGCUCCUCCGGAGCGAUCAGAACAGCUCGGCAUCCCCGGAUAAAGCGUGCGCUAAGCCCACAACAGCAGCCAAAAAGCUGAACACGGCAGCGACAUCGCACAAAAGCGGAACGGCGGUGGCCUUCCGACAGAAAAUAAGAGUGAGCACCGAUGUAUCGCACUCGCCAGGAAUCAUCGUGCUCCUUCCGUACAGAUUCGGGGAGGCUCAGGAAACUCAGAAACAAGAAACCACUUCAAUUAAGCCUAUUUCGGGCUUGGCCCGGAGCAACCUUGCUCGGCCGGCUCCGGCGGCGCUGGUCGAGGGCCCUGAGGGUCGGUGAUGAGGGAGGGGAGGAACACGAUGUCACCUCAGUUAUGCGGCGAGAAGCGGCGGCGGUGACCAUCGGCGAGCAACUGAUGCCCGCCAAAAAAAUAGAGAAGUCUGGGCUCGGCGGGUUUCUCCGGCCACGCGAGCGCCGGGAAGGUCGGGGGACGGCGGAAGAGGGUUGCAGGAGAUCGGGGGAGGGUGGCACAGUGGCUCAGGCCCGGCGCGGCGCUAGCGAAGGGGCCGCCACACAGCUUCAGCUCGGGCUCGGGUUGGGCUCGCUUGCAGCGGCCUCGAAGGCCUGCGGCGGCGGCGCGCCUGCCGGGCGGCGUCACCGGCGGGAAGGGUGCCGGCUCCGUGUGACGCGGGUGAGAGUUUUCCAGGCCCCGGCGGCGGCGCGCUGGUGGCUGCGGGCAACCCGGCUCGGCCAGGCUCGGCCUGGGCUGCCGCAGGCAGGCUUGGAGCGGCUGCAGCGGCGCAGGCGACGCUGCGGGUCGCGCGGGAUGACGCCGAGAGCACGGGGCCGAUCACAGAGGGAGGUCGAAUUGUGGCGGCACGUCCCCGGGAUUCCUCAAACCCGAGGGGACGCAGACGGGAGAGAGAAAGAUGAGGGGAGAGAGAAGAAGUGUCCUAUGGCAUGCUGCGGGCGUGGUGGUGUCAGUCUGGCGAGGGCCGGGGUGGUGCAUCAAGGGCUAGGGGGAGGAGAGGGAGCUGUCCUGGGGGCUAGUUGCAAGGCUAGGGAUAGAGUUCUAGUACAAAAAACCUAAGCAGANNNNNNNNNNNNNNNNNNNNNNNNNNNNNNNNNNNNNNNNNNNNNNNNNNNNNNNNNNNNNNNNNNNNNNNNNNNNNNNNNNNNNNNNNNNNNNNNNNNNAAGAGAGAUGGUGAGUGGAACGUAAACCUAUACGGUGGCGGAAGUUGAAUCGAUUGGGUCGAGUUAGUAACCCUCUAAGACGGAUGUUAGAGGUGGAUUCAAGGUUCUGUUUAUUCUCACACGAGAGUGUUCAUGUUGGACAUACAACAUGAAACUAAGUGUGAGAACAAGCACCCUUGUGUUGACUUUCGCCUGAUUGAGUCAGUUGUUUUUGCUUUGCGGCGAAGCUAUACAGGUUAAGGUGAUUAACCCAAGUUCUUGUGUUUCAGGAGCUAAUGGCACCAAUGAGACACUACGUGCGUAGAUCCGUUCCGGCACAGCCUGCCGAGGUGCCAGAGCAAGCUGGAUCAAGUGAGGUGCAAGAACUGCGGGCGCAGAUGACUGCACUAGUUGGCGUGGUUCAGCACCAAGGGAGGUUGAUCGAGCAGCUCCAGGAGUGUUUGGAGCAGCUGGUAGCGGCGGCGGCCGCGACAGAGACUGAAGGUCGUGGUCUGCCCGCGCCCUCGAUUUGCGCGCUUGAUGCGGCUGAGGGUGAGGGCCUGGCAGUGGUUCCGAUGGCGGUACAUUCCCCGUCGGUUAGUGUUCCUCUGGCGGCUUCGGGUCCUACGAUACUUGAUGUGACAGCUGGGGAAGUGAGACAGGAACGCGAGGCGUUCAAGGAGAGUGGAGUAAAGAAGCGACCUGGCGGUAGUUCGGGGGGACAGUUUAGUUCCCAGAAGCCCCCGAAGUAUCGGGUGAGGUGGUCUGAUGGCUAUGGGCCUAAGCGAUGUGUGAUCUGCGGUGGAGAGCAUCGCGCGGGAAAUUGUGAGCAUAAGGCGGGACGGUGCUUCAGGUGUGGUCGGGCGGGGCAUAUAAGCCGUUACUGCCCAGAGGGAGCGUCACCUGCACCGUUUGUUACAUUCGCCCCAGUGCCUUCGAGGCAGUUGGCUGGAGUUCCGCCGGCUACCGUAUCGGUGGGACGUACGAUGGCGCCGCGUCAGCUCGAGGUGACCCGGUCGGCUCCAAGCGGUCGGGUGGUUGCCGCUCAAAAGGAGGGACUUGCUGGGGCCGAGGAGCGUGAUAUCGUGGCAGGUAUGAUUUAAUUAAAGCAAUCAUACGCUUCUGCGUGAUGUAGACUUGGAAAAUUGCAUGCAUCUUCUCGUGGUCAUUGGCUACUAAUUUUGUAUAGUAUAGUAAGGACCAAGUGGACGGAUUGGCGUAGAUACCCGGGCAUGCUUAUGUGGUAGUAGUGUAGCGCCUGCUGGAGCAGGUAGAGAGUUAGAUGGCACUAGCAAUUUGCUGGUGAUGGUUGUUGGGCGAGAAGUGAGACUCGUGGUAGACACGAAGUGGUAAAGCGACUCUCAAGGUAGUGAUUAUCGAAUUGCGAGAGUUGCGCAGUGGAAUUGCGAAUACCGAGUGGCUUGAGCAUCUCGGAUAUUAUUUCGGUAGAUCGAACAGUGAGAGUAGAAUCACUGUUGAGAGAGUAGCUCAGUAGUUGCCGAGUGCGGGCACGUAGGCCUAGUAGUACCUCGAGUUGAGGUGGGCGAGUCGUGCUCGUGUAGCCGAUGUGCAUAGGCAAGUUGCCUAAUGCUGGACUUCGUGUGAGACGCUGUAGAGGCUUAGGGCGCUCGAGUAUAGAUACUCGUAGAGUACGGUUUCGAUUCAGCCGGGUGAGUGAGCUAGCAGUAGCACUUUAGCUUUGCUAAGUGUGAAGCGGGCCUUGGAUCACUUGUAGGGCUGGUGGCUCGCACUAAGUGCCUAGGAGCCGAUAGAGUUUGUAGCUCUGUAGAGUAUGUCGUGUAGGACGACGACGGCGCGGGUAGUGCUUGGGGACGACUCGUGCCUAGACCAUUUGUGGACUGUGGAGCCUGGGCCCUUUGGGCAGGCGUAGUCAGCUGCGAGAGGCAGCGGCCCGGUACCUACGGGUAGGGCAAAGAUAUGGUCAGGAUGGUAGUCCGAGCUUAGACCCGAGAAUGUGUAAUUCCACGUGGUAGAUCAUGGGAUCGAGGAUGCGCUGAGAAUGCGAUUUUGACCUAACCUCAGGAUUUGAUGUGGUUUGGGGUCGUGGUUGCUCCUGGUUGGAGUGUGUGCGAAUUCCCAAGUGAGAAGUUCGCCCGGUUAUGAUUCGGUCUACGAUGCGAGCGAGAGACGCUAUGCGUAGUUGCGACAGGUUUAGGGGUAUGCCGACGUGGUAUUACGACCGUUGGUCCAUUUGUGGAAGCCGACGCAAUCGGUUUAGCUGGUAACUCCGUGGAGGAGUUGGGAGUAAGGGAGCGAAUUCUCGAAAUACGAGAAUUGAACUUCGCUCAAAAUUAACUAGUUGUCAAAUAGGAGUGCUUCGGGAAAGCCGAAGAAGUCAAAUGCAUCAGAAGUGCAUUGCAACGGAUCCGCGAGAGCAAGUUAUGCAAAAAUCUACACUUGGCAAAAAUUGCUCUCGGGGACCGGUCCCUGGCAGGGAGAGACCGGUCCCACCGACUGGUGGUUGCGGCGACGCGCGAGGCAACCUGUCACGCCCCGCGACCGCUACCAAUUUGGCUCGGCCCGGGCGCGUCGAACAGACGCCGAACGGACAGGACCUCCCCUGUCCGUCCAAGGCUAACCAACAGAUCGUGUAUAAGAAUUUACCCAGGAAUCAAUUCAUAAAUACACGAUCAAGAAGCACCACUAGUGCUAUGAACAAGAGCAAGAUACAAGUAUAGAAAUAUAUACAAGUACAUAAGAGAGAAGAGGCUAUCUAUUACAUUCAUUUGAUUUACUACAUCUAGAUACAUCUUUUACAUUCUUCCAAAAUAUAAAUACAAGCACUCAACCCUCACCCUAUACAACAUCUACUCUCAAAUACAAAAGGGGUGACGGCUAAUGCAAGAAGGGAGGUAGCUAAUGCGACUAGAACGCCGGGCCCUUACCGCGGUCCUCACGCUCACCGGGGACACCCGAACUGGAACCUGUGGUAAAAUGGGGGUGAGAACUAACUUCCUUAGUUCCCAGUGGGUUCGGCCGCCGACUCCGCCGAUCUCCCCACUAGGUCCAAGCGGGCACGAGUAGAUAUACCAAUAGAUAGAUAGAUAGAUAGAUAAAUAAGGAAGCUAUAAAUGACGGGAAUUAAGCUAUUCUACUAUGCCCAAUCAUAGAUAUAUGAAUGCAUGUUCGAUGAAUUGGUAAGCAGCUAACCUGUCAGCGUGUCCAAAGGUGAAGCUAUUCACUCGUUCAUUAACCUCAUUUACUUGUCCAUUAAUCUCAUGGCUUACCCGAAGGCUCGCCUACAGCUCACUAGCCAUCUCGACACGUAGGGAGAAUCAACUCACACUACGGACCCGAGACCGUCUGGCGGGGCCAUAUAGGCAAUCCCUGGCGUGACCAACAUCCGGAGCGCACUACUUGUGUGGGGCUUCCAUCACAAGAUUUAACAGACCGUGAGCAUGAUCCAAUCCUCUAAGCUCGAGGAUACCCUGUCCUCUAGAGUCACAAUCAUCAUAUAGUCCAUAGGUUUCAUAUACACUACGACUAGAUUACCAACCAUCCAUUUGUUCGCUAUCGACUAGAUGCCACUCGUUCAUCAUUUACUAUUGACUAGAUGCCACUCGUUCAUCAUUUACUAUUGACUAGAUGCCACUCGUUCAUAGUUCAUCAUUUCUCUACAUUAUAGGAUUCACAAUCUCGACCCAAUCCUUAUCAAUCCAAUAUAUCAAUUAUCCAAUGUACGCUACGAUAUCAUCAAGGAAAAACAUAAGGAAAGGCAAUGCAUACUAAUCCUAUAAUGCAAUAAUACAAGAUGCAAGAUCAAAUAUACUAAGACAUAGGAGGGAGCCCGAUUGCUUCGGGAUGGACACCACCCACCUCUUGGCGAUGCCGCGGUGGUAGAAAACUUGACGCUGCGGUUCUUGUACGCCGCCUAAACUCCUCGGGGCAAAGCGAGCCCUCGAGUACCCGAUUUGGCGAUAACUCCGCACCCGCUCGUCGGAUCGGCAAACCGUCUUCGCCGACGCGUUCAGAGACCUAGCAAUUAGGUUUACGACCCAUUAAAAUAGAUCAGAACCCUAAAUUUACCAAAAACCCAAUUUCAAACCCUAGGUCUCGACAACGGAGAAAUCCGUGGUGCGAGCUUCGAUUUCGAGCUCGAACCUUCCAUUUAUCCCUAAUAGGUUCCAUUUGAACCAAUUCUAAACCCUAAAAAACACAAAACCCUAAAAACACCAUUAAAGGGUUUAGAGCUUACCUCUCUUCAAGACUUCUUCAAGCUUGAGGGAGAGGGAGAGAAGAGGAUAUCUCCUUCUUCUUCUUCUUAGUCUUCUCCUUCUCUUUCUUCUCUUCUUCUCCUUCCUCUUCUUCUUCUUCUUCUCUUUCUUUUCUUUUCUUUCCUAGAGAGAGAGAUAAGGAGUAAGAGAGAGAGAGAGAAAGCAGCUGAGAGGGAGAGAGAGGGGUCCCCAAGCCCUAUUAAAGGCCAUUUUGCAUAUAGCCCCCUCAACUUUUCAUCCUUUGAAUCAGCCCUCUCUGGGCAUUUUCGCAGCGAGAGACCGGUCUCCCCGACUUCGGACCGGUCCCCGAAGGCUGCCAUUUCGAGCAGAGGGAUUCUCGCGUUCGGGAACCGGUCCUUGCCUGAGAGACCGGUCCCCGGGAGACCGGUCCUUGUCCGAGAGACCGGUUCCCGAGAGCUGCAUUCUCGGGACUUAGCCAAAUUUGGCUAAGUCUCGCCAGGCCAACGUUCGGGAACCGGUCCCUGCCCAUCAGGGACCGGUCUCAUCAGAGACCUUCGCAACCCAGCCUGAUGGAACCGGUCCCUCCCUGCCAGGGACCGGUCCCCGAGAGCAUUUCUGCUCCAGUGCAAGUUUUGCACUUGGUGCUCUCGCGGACACUUCCUUAAUGCACUUUAUGCAUUAUAAAAACCUUCGGACUUUCCGAAGCCUACGCACUCGACAACUAGUCGUUUCUAGUCGAAGUCUAAUCCUCGAGUUUCGAGAAUUCACUUCCUUACACAACCUGUCCCUGGACCAGGGAGACCGGUUCCCGAACGUGUGAAUUGGAGAAGGUCCUCUGGGACCGGUCCCUGGCAGGGAGAGACCGGUCCCCGAGUAUGAAAUUUGCCCAGGCAGGCUGGGUCAUGUUGGAGAAGUUGGAGAACUUGAGAAUAUUGCUCUCUUGAGGGUUAGCAUUGGAGAUGUGCCAAAGUGUGCCAUCUCGCAAUAGAGCAAGGGUGCCACCUCACAAUAGAGCGAAGAUCCGGAUGUGAUGGUAGCACUCGCGGUUGAUCGAUGCACCAAUAAUACUGCCUUUAGGCAAUGCCGGUGAUCGAACCGGAGUGGAUUUCCCGAUUGGGCGUGUAAUGCAAGGAGUAGUUCCUUGCAUGGUAGUAAUGCACUUUUGGAGUUGCGCAUGGCGAAUGUGAGUGAAUUUGGUCUCCCAUUCUCCGUAGUGAGCCUUUGGAAAGUUCCGAUAAGUGAAAGGCCACUCCGAGAUGCAAAAGUGCAUUGGAACCCUCGAUUACUCAAUAAGUUGAGUUGAGGUGUGUGUUAGAUUUGAAGUGAGUUAGUUUCGAGGAUGAAACUCUUUUAAGGAGGGGAGAAUGUAAGGCACCGGACUUCUAAAAUCAUGAAGUUACGUUGUACAUUUGGUUGGAGAGCCAUUGGAAAGGUUCCGGUAAAGUUCGGUGAAGUUCGGGCGAUUCGGUGCGCGUAGGCGCGGAAACGGAACCCGAAAGGCUAUGUUGGUCCAUGGAUUAAAUCCAGCAUUAGCAUGGAUGAAAAGAUGGUGAAAACAUGUUCGAAAACAUGUUGGGAGAGUCUCGGUUCGAUUUGAAACGAAUCGGAGGUCAAACGAGCGAAAACGGGUGAAAACGGAGCGAAAACGGUGAAAAAGCUGAAAAUUUGGCUAAGUCCUAAAUGCUGUUUUUCUGGACCUUCGGGGACCGGUCCCUCAAGUCCAGAGACCGGUCCCAGCACCCGAAAAUAGCCCAAUUUCGGCUGUGCACAACUAAUAUUGUUGAGGGGCCUUUGUGCAAUUGUGCAGAGUGUAUAGAGAGAGUUGGGGGCUCAUUUCCUCUCCCUCUCCCUCACGUUGCAACCAAGAGCUCUCCCUCUCUCUCUCUAAGUGCUCUUCUUCUCUCUCUAGAAGGUGAUGGAGGAGAGGAUUUUGGUGGAGAUCAAGAUCAAGAGAAGGGAUUUCUUCUUCUUCUUCUCCUUCCUUGGCUAGUAGCAAGCUUGGAGAGGUAAGCUUCAAAACCCUUUAAUGGCAUCUCUUUAUAGCUUGGGUUUUAAGCUCUAGGAAUGGGUUUAGAUGUAUUCCAGCAUGCUAAAUAGAGAUUUCAUGCUUGAAUCCAAAGCUCUAAUGGUGGAUUCUUGCCUAGUUAUAAACCUAGGGCUCAAAAUGGGAUUUUGAGAAAUAGUUGGGUUUGAUCUCAUUUAACCCUCUGUAAACCUAAUUGAUAGGUCCCCGAACGCGUACGUGCAGUCGGUUUGGCAAUCCGUCGAGCCGUUACAAAGAUAUCAAAGAAGAGGCCGAUUUUGGUACAGAUUGCCGCAGCUCGCGGCGAAAGCUUCCAAAAAUCAUGGAAAUGGAAUCGUAGCAUCGUGGUGUCGGGGAAUAAACUCCAGAAUAGACGGAUCGCGGAUUGGAGGUCGUUCGGUGGUCGCGCGCGCAUUGGGUCAAGCCGAGCGGCGUGCGCCGCGGGAGGCCGAUUGCGAGUGACGACGAGCAAUCGGAACGCGGUAAAAGGUGGGGGGUGUCAUCCCGAAGCAAUCGGGCUUCUCCCUAUGUCUAAGUCUCUCUAUGUUGAUCAAUUAUGCAUAUCGAGCUUUGCAUUAUAGGGUGCUAGAUGAUAAAUGUAUAUAUAUAUAUAUACAUACAUAUUGCAUGCUUCUUGAAAGAGUAAUGUAUUGGGCUUAGUGCUUAUAUCUAGCAUGCUUGAGGUUUAUAUAUAUGUGAUGUGAAACCCUAUAAUGAGAUGAUAGGUGUGGAGGAGAACUUAGUAAUGUAUUGGCUAUUGCAUUGGAAACUUUAAACUGUCAUUGAUCAAGUUGCAUAUUAUGAUGUUGCAUAUAGGGUGUUUAGAAACUUGUAUCUAUAUUUGCAUGCUAGUGUUAAUGUAGCUUGGUAGAUAUAACACUUGAAUCUAGUAUGCAUGAAGUUAGUAUGUGCACCUUAACCCUAUAUGAGAUGAUAUGUGACGGAUUGGAACCUAGGCAAAUGAUAACCUAGUGUUUGUGUUGUGUGAACGAAGAACCUAGUAAAGUGUGAACUAGAGUCUUGGAAACUUGUAAAGGACGAGUGGCAUCUAGUUAAUGUUAACCUAUGACGAGUGGCAUCUAGUUGAUAGCACAUAUGAGAACCUUAGUGUAGUUGAAACACUAGAAGGUUGAGUAUUAGACUGGCAUUGAGUUGAUGAGUUGUUAACCCUAGAUGAUAGGGUGUUCCCAGUUGAUGACACUAUCCUUAGUUGAUAGGAUGUUCCCAGUUCAUGAGAUUGGAUCGAGCUCACAUAGCCUGUCUGCACCUGUGGAGGUCGCUCCUCACAGGUAGUGCACUCCGGAGUUUGGCACGCGAGGGGGCCAGUGUAGUUGCCCUUGGACCAGUGUAGUGUCCGCAGGCGGUCUCGGGGUAGGUGAAUAGCUAGCCACCUCCCUAGGAGAUUUACAGACGUGAGACUGUGCGCGAACCUCGAGUUCGCCGAGAGAUUGGGUAACCUGAUGAGUUACAUUGUGUAUAAUAGCCUGGCACUUAGCCUUAGCCUUAUUGAUGAACCUAGUAGUAUGAUAAUUAGCCUCCAGUAUGAGUUGCAUCGACAUUGAGUAUAGUCGCUUGGUAGUCAGAGUAGUGGAUUUGCCUACAUACAGUGAGUGGACAUACUAUUCUUUCACCUAUGAGAUUUGAGCGAGGUAGCCUGUACCUAGUCGAGAUUGAGUCGGACCGUCGAGAUGUGUGUCGGGUGAGGAGCGGGGUAGCUCUUUGCCUAGGACCUUCGAGAUUGGGUCGGACCUACGAGAUAAGUCGGGCAAGGAGCGGGGUAGCUCUUUGUCUAGGACCUUUGAGUUAUGAGUUAGGCAGGAAAAGAGCGGGGUAGCUCUUCACCUCCUGGAUUUGAGAUCUUAGGCGAGUUAGCCUAGCGGAUUGGGUAAUAACAUGAAUAGCAUAAGAGGAUUGCAUUCAUACUAUGAAUAGACAUAGAGCAUUGCAUAACUAUGUUAUAGUUGUAUUCAUUUCACUGUUGAGGCAUAUUAGCAUGAUAGUAGAUUGUUGCUAGAUGAUGUUCCAUGCAUCUUUUACAUUGAUGGCAUAGUAGAUAUAGUAGCAGUUUAUUUCCAUAUAUCUUUCUGUCUAUCUAUCUGUGCCAGCUUAGACCUAGGCGGAGUCGGCGGCCGAACCCACUGGGAACUAUAGUUAUAUAGUUCUCACCCCGUGUGGUUUUGGGGUACAGGUACACACGAGAGCGGACCGGCAGAUGAUCGCGGCAAGGGCUUAGCGCCCUAGUGCUAGUUGGUAGAUGCUUUCCUAUUUUGCAUUAGAGUUACCCUAUACAUGUAUUGAGAGUAGAUGAUGUAUAGGAUGUGAGGUAUUUUGAGAUAAAUAUAAACUAAUGUUUAUACUUUGGAUGAAUGUAAAGCUAAGUUGUAAUUAAAUGUAUCAAGUUGAAUCGUUGUAAUAGAAUAGUUAAGUAUCUCUUUUUUGUUU
Molecule: long non-coding RNA, 28356 nt
Filed under: Ananas comosus (pineapple)
Lineage: Eukaryota; Viridiplantae; Streptophyta; Magnoliopsida; Poales; Bromeliaceae
Description: long non-coding RNA (ACOM_LNC008793)
Source: RNAcentral